CCGGUCCGUGAGUCCUGCUGGGAGCUUUGGGAGCAGGACGGGAAUCCGCGGGGGUCCUGCACCCCCCUGAGCCGCGUCCCUGCAGGUGUGCACGGUCACUGAGCAGGACUCACAUCUGUGACUGGCGGCUUCGGGCUGGGCAAGGGAGGGAGAGCAGUUGUGAGAAUACUUGGAAAAGCCUGCCAGGAAACAGGCCCUGUUCUUCCCCAGCUCGGUUGGAAGCCACAGUGGAUUGCACAGCCUUGGGAAUGAAACUCAUCUCGAGGAAUUGCCAUUCUGAGAGGUGCAGGAACUGUGUUUUGGCAGCAAACCGUGGCCUCGUGGAGGAGGAGGAGGAGCAGGGCUGGCUGGGCAGCAGUGGGAGUGCUGGGCGCCUCCUGCUCAUUCCCUUCCCUGCUGGGCCCGGGAACGUGGAGCAGUGCUCAGCUGGAUCACAGAGGGGAUUUUAAUUGAAUUUCUUGUUAGAUUAUUUAUUUACCCCUUUGCACAGCAGCUCUCUGCAAGCCCCCAGUGCCCCUUGGGUGGUCCCUUCCAACAGGAGCAGUGCAGGGGGAGCUGGAGGGAGCUGGGCCUUUCCUUGGGGGGGCAGGGAUACACCUACCCAUGUGGGAAGUCCAAGGCAGCAAUCCCCCUGUCUGCAGUUUCCUCUCAGGAGGGGAUGGAGCAGUAAAUGUGUGAUGGAGGAGCCUCCUGACGUCACUUAAUCUGGGAUGCCUUGAUGAUCUUGGAGCAGAACCUCAUCCCAAAGGGUGGAAGAAGGGAAAGGAAUUUACUUUUCUGUUGCCUGCAGAAAAGCUGUGGGCUGCCUGGGUAUGUUGGUACACUGUGAUUCCAGGUGAGGGCUCUUCCCUUCUCCUCCUCCAGGCAUGGGAAUGAUCUCUGGUGACAGUACAGGGGAGCUGUAUUAUCCUUCAGAGAGUUGUGGUUCAUGAUCUGCCCAGUUUUGGGUGGUUGAAAAGGAGCCGUUUUCCCCGAGGUUAUCCCUGUGCUCCUGGAAAUCCUGCUGCUGGUCCUGCUGGGAGCUGUGCUGGUGGCUCCUGUCCCACCGUGGCUCUCCAGGGUCAGUGCCAGGCUUGGACACCUUCAGCUGCUGGACUGUGCCCAGCCUGGCAUUCUGCUUCUCAGAGCCCUAAUUACACAGGCCAAUUAGUGUAGAAAAAGCUGUUUCCUUCAUUAAUUAGCUUUGCUUUCAAUCCAGAGAAGGGGAAAUGAACUUUUGGGCAGGUGGAGCCAGCGGGAGAGCUGUGGUGCUUCCUGGGCAGCUCUGGGAUUCCCACUGGAACUGCCUCUUUGGGAACUGGGGGGGUUCAUUUUCCUGGGUGGUCUGGCUGGCUGGAGCCCCACUGUGGAUACCUGCAGGGGCAGUGUUGGAACCUGCUGGAAACAGGACACUGGAUGUUACCUGAUGUCAGGUGAAGGUCUGGGAAUCCCCCCAGCCUCAGGACCUGCUGCUUCCCCCUCCUGCCCUCAGGCCUUAUUUGCUGCUGGAAUUUGGGGGUGUUUUGUGUCCCUGAGCCAUCUGCUCCCCUCCUGUGGCUGAGGGGAGGCUCUCUGGAGCACUUUAAUUUUCCCUUGCCUUCCUUUCACCCAGUCCCUGCAGUCCUGCCUCACUUGGUUCCUGGCAGCUCCAUGGCUCUGGCAGGGCAGUUUUAGGAGCUGAUGCUGGAGACUCUUUGGUGAUGCCAUUCAUUGCUCCAUCACUCCUGCAGCACAUGGGAGCUUUGAGCAGCUCCUGCCUCAAACUGAG
This is a long non-coding RNA of Corapipo altera (White-ruffed manakin), 1747 nucleotides long. RefSeq lists it as uncharacterized. The record is from RefSeq and is a predicted model, not a curated record. The transcript is spliced from 3 exons. Lineage: Eukaryota; Metazoa; Chordata; Aves; Passeriformes; Pipridae.